GCCUGUUUAUCAAAAACAUGGCUUUUUGUUAAUAAUUUAAAGUCUGGCCUGCCCAAUGAUUUGUUUAAAUGGCCGCGGUACUUUGACCGUGCAAAGGUAGCAUAAUCAUUAGUUUUUUAAUUGAAAGCUGGAAUGAACGGUCGGACAAGAAAAUUACUGUCUCAAUUAAAUAGUUUUAGAAUUUUAUUUUUUAGUAAGAAAGCUAAAAUAGAUUUAAGGGACGAGAAGACCCUAUAGAAUUUUAUAAAUUUUGAAGGGUUGAAUUUUUAGUUUAGUUAUUUUGGUUCUGUAAAAUUUAUUUUGUUGGGGUGAUGGAAAAAUUUGAUAAACUUUUUUUUUAUUAAUUCACUUAUUUGUGUUUAGAUGAUCCAUUUAUAGUGAUUAUAAGAUUAAAUUACCUUAGGGAUAACAGCGUAAUUGGUUUGGAGAGUUCAAAUCGAUAAACUAGUUUGCGACCUCGAUGUUGGAUUAAAAUAAACUUUUGGUGUAGGGGCUAAAAAGUUAAGUCUGUUCGACUUUUAAAAUUUUACAUGAUCUGAGUUCAGACCGG
This 550-nucleotide ribosomal RNA is filed under the name Macrodorcas striatipennis yushiroi. Its description in RNAcentral is "partial 16S ribosomal RNA". It matches the Rfam family "Bacterial large subunit ribosomal RNA", at positions 1798 to 2619 of the family's 2925-position model. Lineage: Eukaryota; Metazoa; Arthropoda; Insecta; Coleoptera; Lucanidae. The record is from RNAcentral.